This is an RNA transcript of Corapipo altera (White-ruffed manakin), 3637 nucleotides long. It is a transcript of the gene named RB transcriptional corepressor like 2, with no coding region annotated. Lineage: Eukaryota; Metazoa; Chordata; Aves; Passeriformes; Pipridae. The record is from RefSeq and is a predicted model, not a curated record. The transcript is spliced from 23 exons.
AUGGACGAGCGCGCCCGCGCAGAGGCCUGGCUCAGCUACCAGAGCAUGAGGCGCAACUACACCCUCGAGGGAAAUGACCUGCACUGGCUGGCCUGUGCCUUGUAUGUGGCUUGCAGGAAAGCAAUUCCAACUGUGAGCAGAGGGACAGCUGAGGGAAAUUAUGUGUCUUUAACCAGAAUCCUGCGCUGUUCAGAGCAAAGCUUGAUCGAGUUUUUUAACAAGAUGAAGAAGUGGGAAGACAUGGCAAAUCUACCGUCCCAGUUCAGAGAACGAACUGAGAGAUUAGAGAGGAACUUUACAGUUUCUGCAGUCAUUUUUAAGAAGUAUGAGCCCAUUUUUCAGGAUAUUUUCAGGUAUCCUCAAGAAGAUCAACCUCGCCAACAGAGAGGAAGGAAGCAGAGACGCCAACCGUGUACUGUGACUGAAGUUUUCCAGUUUUGUUGGGUGCUGUUUGUUCAUGCAAAAGGAAAUUUUCCUAUGAUCAGUGAUGACUUGGUCAAUUCCUACCAUCUCCUGUUAUGUGCUUUGGAUCUCGUGUAUGGAAAUGCUCUCCAGUGUCCUAACCGUAAAGAACUUCUGAAUCCUAAUUUUAAGGGCCUGCCUGAAGACUUUCAUAGUAAGGAUUAUAAAGUAUCAUCUGACCCUCCCUGCAUCAUUGAAAAACUGUGUUCAUUACAUUAUGGAUUAGUUUUAGAAGCAAAAGGUAUCAAGGAACAUUUUUGGAAGCCAUAUAUUCGGAAACUUUUUGACAAAAAGCUUUUGAAAGGAAAAGAUGAAAAUCUGACUGGAUUUCUAGAUCCUGGAAACUUUGGAGAUAGUGUCAAAGCCAUCAACAAGGCCUACGAGGAGUAUGUGCUGUCAGUGGGAAACCUUGACGAGCGAAUAUUUCUUGGUGAGGAUGCAGAUGAAGAAAUUGGAACCCUCACAAGGUGCUUAAACACAACUUCAGGAAUGGAAACAGCUGAAAGAGUACAAGUGAAGCAUAAUUUGCAGCAGCAUUUUGACAGGUCCAAAUCACUUAGGAUCACAACCCCGCUCACCUGCCGCAAGUAUGUUAAAGAGAGCAACCCAUAUGUGACACCUGUUUCCAUGGCAACAUACAGUUUGAGCCGCCUUCACACGAUGCUGGCAGGGCUGAAAAAUGCCCCCAGUGAAAAUCUGGAGCAAAUACUCAAGUCAUGUUCCAGAGAUCCUUCUCAAUCUAUUGCAAACAGAAUAAAAGAAAUGCAUGAAGUGUACUGCCAGAGCACACAGUCUGAAGGAGAAUUCAGUAAUUUUUCCAAAGAUGUUGCCAGUAAACAUUUCCGUCGUGCUGAGAUGCUCUACUACAAGGUCUUGGAGUCAGUCAUUGAGGAGGAGAGGAGGACUCGACUGGGAGACACUGACUUAUCUGCAAUACUGGAGCAAGACGUGUUUCACAGGUCUCUGCUGGCCUGUUGCCUUGAGAUCAUCACCUUUACAUAUAACCCACCUGGAAACUUCCCGUUCAUCACCGAAAUAUUUGACAUUCCAGUUUAUCAUUUUUAUAAGGUAAUAGAGGUUUUCAUUAGAGCAGAGGAUGGCCUCUGUCGGGAAGUAGUAAAACACCUGAAUCAUAUUGAAGAACAGAUCCUUGAAAGUAUGGCAUGGAAAGGGGAAUCCAUAUUGUGGGACAGAAUCAGAGACAAUGAAAACAAAGUUCCUAGUUGUGAAGAGGUAAUGCCACCUCAGUACUUUGAGAAAUCUGCUGGGAACAGUGUUGUGGGUUCCCCGUUGACACCAAGACGAAUAAAUGAGGUUCGUGCUGAAAGUGGAGGACUAGGAAAAGGCCUUUCCUCACCUCCAGCCACCCUGUAUGACAGAUACAGUUCUCCUACAGCCAAUCCUACGAGACGCCGCCUGUUUGCUGAUAAUGAGAACCCCUCUGACAGUGGGACCCCAGUGAGAGUUUCCCAACAGCCCGUGGUGAACACGGUGCCAGUGCAGAACAUGAAUCCCGAAGCCAUGUCGGUGACUCCGGUGCCUGGCCAGACCCUGGUCACCGUGGCAACUGCCACCGUGACAGCCAACAACGGGCAAACUGUGACCAUCCCAGUACAAGGUAUUGCCAAUGAAAAUGGAGGAAUAACUUUCUUCCCAGUCCAAGUAAAUGUAGGUGCCCAGCCCCAAGCUGUCUCUGGCCCCAUUCAGCCUCUGAGUGCCCAGGCUCUCGCUGGUACCCUGAACACCCAGAUGACUGGGGCAGCACUGCAGUUGCCAGGCCAGCUGACUGUUCAGCAGAUCUCCCCUGGAGAGCAGAGACAGACCCAGCAGUUCACUGCCACGUCCAUCAGGCCUCGGAAGACGGGCUCACUGUCACUCUUCUUCAGAAAGGUGUAUCAUUUAGCCAGUGUUCGUCUGAGGGAUCUCUGUGUCAAACUCGAUGUGUCUGAUGAGCUACGGCAAAAGAUCUGGACAUGCUUUGAGUAUUCCUUGGUGCACUGCCCUGAAAUCAUGAUGGACAGACACUUGGAUCAGCUGCUGAUGUGUGCCAUCUAUGUCAUGACUAAGGUCACUAAUGAAGACAGAUCAUUUCAGAACAUCAUGCGCUGCUAUCGGACGCAACCGCAAGCCAAGAGCCACGUCUAUCGGAGUGUCCUGAUCAAAGGCAGGCGCCGCCGCCGCUCCGGCAGCAGCGACAGCAGCAGCCAGCAGAACUCCCCCCCAGACAGGAGCAAGGAGAGGAACAAGGAAAGAAGCAGCCGGGACUCCAGCCCGGUGAUGCGCUCCAGCAGCACCCUGCCCGUGCCGCACCCCGGCAGCGCCCCCCCCACGCCCACCCGCCUCACCGGUGCCAACAGCGACACCGAGGAGGAGGAGCGGGGGGACCUCAUCCAGUUCUACAACAACGUCUACAUCGAGCAGAUCAAAGACUUUGCCCUGAAGUACACUUCAAAUGCAACCGACUCUCCUCCGCUGUCCCCGUACCCGUUCGUGCGGCUCAGCUCCCCUCGCCGGGUGCAGCUGUCCCAGAACCACCCCGUGUACAUCUCACCACACAGAAACGAGUCUGCUCUCUCUUCCCAAGAGAGGAUAUUCUACUACUUCAGCAGCAGCCCCUCGAAGAGACUAAAGGAGAUUAACAGCAUGGUUCGAACUGGAGAAACGCCCACCAAGAAGAGAGGCAUUCUCUUAGAGGAUGGCACUGAAGCCCCAGCCAAGCGCAUCUGUCAGGAGAAUCACACGGCCCUGCUGAGGCGGCUCCAAGAUGUAGCCAAUGACAGAGGGUCUCACUGAGCCCACACAGGUUUUCCCUUCCUGCUGCUCCCAGGGCUGGGCUGCUCAGCCCACACAUGGACCCACUGAGCCCUUGCAAGUGUCUUCAGCCAGACUGUGCUCAGCCCCCUCCCUGCCCCGGCCACCGCCCACUGCACUGGCUCCUCAGACCCUGACCCCACCCCCAGUCAAGCUCCUCACAAGGCAAGUGACCCAUCUCCAGCCUUCCAAAAGCAGCUGAAGAGCUUUUUCUUGCUUGGAGAACACACCCCUAACACAGCUGUGUACCUUGCACCAGGUCUUUCCUUCCCUUUGAGCUAACCAGUCCCCUCACACUGUGUUUAUCACCACUGUCAGCCAUGGACAGGCACCUGGAGGUGCAUCACAGCAAGGAGCCAUCACA